GACGAACGCUGGCGGCGUGCCUAAUACAUGCAAGUCGAACGAACCGCGACUAAGUGCUUGCACUAAGUCAAGGUGAGUGGCGAACGGGUGAGUAACACGUGGGUAACCUACCUCAUAGUGGGGGAUAACAGUCGGAAACGACUGCUAAUACCGCAUAGGACAUAGGAUCACAUGAUCCAGUGAGGAAAGGUGGCGCACGCUAUCGCUAAGAGAUGGACCCGCGGUGCAUUAGCUAGUUGGUAGGGUAAAGGCCUACCAAGGCGAUGAUGCAUAGCCGACCUGAGAGGGUGAUCGGCCACAUUGGGACUGAGACACGGCCCAAACUCCUACGGGAGGCAGCAGUAGGGAAUCUUCCGCAAUGGACGCAAGUCUGACGGAGCAACGCCGCGUGAGUGAAGAAGGUCUUCGGAUCGUAAAGCUCUGUUGUUAGAGAAGAACAGCGCAUAGAGUAACUGCUAUGCGUGUGACGGUAUCUAACCAGAAAGCCACGGCUAACUACGUG
This 502-nucleotide ribosomal RNA is filed under the name uncultured bacterium. RNAcentral's name for it is "partial 16S ribosomal RNA". It matches the Rfam family "Bacterial small subunit ribosomal RNA", at positions 28 to 507 of the family's 1533-position model. The record is from RNAcentral.